RNAcentral lists this ribosomal RNA (558 nucleotides) under Triticum aestivum (bread wheat). RNAcentral describes it as "partial small subunit ribosomal RNA". The record is from RNAcentral. Lineage: Eukaryota; Viridiplantae; Streptophyta; Magnoliopsida; Poales; Poaceae.
AUGUUCCCCAGGACCUGCCUAACCAAAGCACAAGAGAAGAAAGUGCUAGAGCUAGCUGAUAGCAGCAUGAGGUCUGAAAUUCCUCUGCAUGUGGCACCUAUGAACAAAAGAAAUGCCAAUGAGGACUACUAUGUUUACAUACCACUAGGGCCUUUGGACAAUUUCGAAGAGGGGAUAACUGCAACUACCAUUCAGCUCGAAGCCCAUGGCAAUGGCAUGGUAUACUUUGUUGGCGCAAGCAAGCAACGUGACGAGCAAAUAAUCCUCGAAUCCGAGUUGAGUCAUUUUAUAGCUUCUCUCCGCAUACAAGACAAUGACCUCCUCGUCUUCAGAAGCAUGAGGAAAGAUCGCCUUGAAGUUCUUGUCCUUGACCCGAGCGGUUGUGAGAAAACUUGUUUUGCCAUGGGAAACUCUUCAAAUGCCCGAGAAGUGUGUGAAGAUCUGGUUGAGAUUGUUGAUCCACCCCCGCAUACUCUCAUUGAUUUGAGUUCUGAUGACAAUGAAUUUGUGGAAGAAGGCAGAUUUGAUGACAAUGAAGUCGUGGAAGAAGGCAUAUGA